RNAcentral lists this ribosomal RNA (429 nucleotides) under bacterium. Its description in RNAcentral is "partial 16S ribosomal RNA". It matches the Rfam family "Bacterial small subunit ribosomal RNA", at positions 355 to 776 of the family's 1533-position model. The record is from RNAcentral. RNAcentral also lists the same sequence under 3 other names.
UAGGGAAUCUUCCACAAUGGACGCAAGUCUGAUGGAGCAACGCCGCGUGAGUGAAGAAGGUUUUCGGAUCGUAAAGCUCUGUUGUUGGUGAAGAAGGAUAGAGGUAGUAACUGGCCUUUAUUUGACGGUAAUCAACCAGAAAGUCACGGCUAACUACGUGCCAGCAGCCGCGGUAAUACGUAGGUGGCAAGCGUUGUCCGGAUUUAUUGGGCGUAAAGCGAGCGCAGGCGGAAGAAUAAGUCUGAUGUGAAAGCCCUCGGCUUAACCGAGGAACUGCAUCGGAAACUGUUUUUCUUGAGUGCAGAAGAGGAGAGUGGAAUUCCAUGUGUAGCGGUGGAAUGCGUAGAUAUAUGGAAGAACACCAGUGGCGAAGGCGACUCUCUGGUCUGCAACUGACGCUGAGGCUCGAAAGCAUGGGUAGCGAACAGG